Molecule: ribosomal RNA, 1823 nt
Filed under: Klebsiella oxytoca
Lineage: Bacteria; Pseudomonadati; Pseudomonadota; Gammaproteobacteria; Enterobacterales; Enterobacteriaceae
Description: partial 23S ribosomal RNA
Rfam family: Bacterial large subunit ribosomal RNA
Source: RNAcentral
AUAGGGGAGCCGCAGGGAAACCGAGUCUUAACUGGGCGUUAAGUUGCAGGGUAUAGACCCGAAACCCGGUGAUCUAGCCAUGGGCAGGUUGAAGGUUGGGUAACACUAACUGGAGGACCGAACCGACUAAUGUUGAAAAAUUAGCGGAUGACUUGUGGCUGGGGGUGAAAGGCCAAUCAAACCGGGAGAUAGCUGGUUCUCCCCGAAAGCUAUUUAGGUAGCGCCUCGUGAACUCAUCUUCGGGGGUAGAGCACUGUUUCGGCUAGGGGGUCAUCCCGACUUACCAACCCGAUGCAAACUACGAAUACCGAAGAAUGUUAUCACGGGAGACACACGGCGGGUGCUAACGUCCGUCGUGAAGAGGGAAACAACCCAGACCGCCAGCUAAGGUCCCAAAGUCAUGGUUAAGUGGGAAACGAUGUGGGAAGGCCCAGACAGCCAGGAUGUUGGCUUAGAAGCAGCCAUCAUUUAAAGAAAGCGUAAUAGCUCACUGGUCGAGUCGGCCUGCGCGGAAGAUGUAACGGGGCUAAACCAUGCACCGAAGCUGCGGCAGCGACACUAUGUGUUGUUGGGUAGGGGAGCGUUCUGUAAGCCGUUGAAGGUGGCCUGUGAGGGUUGCUGGAGGUAUCAGAAGUGCGAAUGCUGACAUAAGUAACGAUAAUGCGGGUGAAAAACCCGCACGCCGGAAGACCAAGGGUUCCUGUCCAACGUUAAUCGGGGCAGGGUGAGUCGACCCCUAAGGCGAGGCCGAAAGGCGUAGUCGAUGGGAAACAGGUUAAUAUUCCUGUACUUGGUGUUCAAAUCGUACCCCAAACCGACACAGGUGGUCAGGUAGAGAAUACCAAGGCGCUUGAGAGAACUCGGGUGAAGGAACUAGGCAAAAUGGUGCCGUAACUUCGGGAGAAGGCACGCUGAUGGUAGGUGAAGCGACUUGCUCGUGGAGCUGAAAUCAGUCGAAGAUACCAGCUGGCUGCAACUGUUUAUUAAAAACACAGCACUGUGCAAACACGAAAGUGGACGUAUACGGUGUGACGCCUGCCCGGUGCCGGAAGGUUAAUUGAUGGGGUUAUCCUCGCGGAGAAGCUCUUGAUCGAAGCCCCGGUAAACGGCGGCCGUAACUAUAACGGUCCUAAGGUAGCGAAAUUCCUUGUCGGGUAAGUUCCGACCUGCACGAAUGGCGUAAUGAUGGCCAGGCUGUCUCCACCCGAGACUCAGUGAAAUUGAACUCGCUGUGAAGAUGCAGUGUACCCGCGGCAAGACGGAAAGACCCCGUGAACCUUUACUAUAGCUUGACACUGAACACUGGUCCUUGAUGUGUAGGAUAGGUGGGAGGCUUUGAAGUGUGGACGCCAGUCUGCAUGGAGCCGACAUCAGGAGGUUAGUGCAAUGGCAUAAGCUGGCUUGACUGCGAGCGUGACGGCGCGAGCAGGUGCGAAAGCAGGUCAUAGUGAUCCGGUGGUUCUGAAUGGAAGGGCCAUCGCUCAACGGAUAAAAGGUACUCCGGGGAUAACAGGCUGAUACCGCCCAAGAGUUCAUAUCGACGGCGGUGUUUGGCACCUCGAUGUCGGCUCAUCACAUCCUGGGGCUGAAGUAGGUCCCAAGGGUAUGGCUGUUCGCCAUUUAAAGUGGUACGCGAGCUGGGUUUAGAACGUCGUGAGACAGUUCGGUCCCUAUCUGCCGUGGGCGCUGGAGAAUUGAGGGGGGCUGCUCCUAGUACGAGAGGACCGGAGUGGACGCAUCACUGGUGUUCGGGUUGUCAUGCCAAUGGCAUUGCCCGGUAGCUAAAUGCGGAAGAGAUAAGUGCUGAAAGCAUCUAAGCACGA